GCCUAACACAUGCAAGUCGAACGAGGGUGGAGCAAUCCAUUCCUAGUGGCGGACGGGUGAGGAACGCGUAAGAACCUACCUUUUGGAUGGGAACAACUUCUGGAAACGGAAGCUAAUACUCAAUAUGCUGAGGAGCGAAAGAUGGAAACAUCACCAAAAGACGGGCUUGCGUCUGAUUAGCUAGUUGGUGAGGUAAUGGCUCACCAAGGCGAUGAUCAGUAGUUGGUCUGAGAGGACGAUCAACCACACUGAAACUGAGAAACGGUUCAGACUUCUACGGAAGGCAGCAGUGAGGAAUUUUCCGCAAUGGGCGAAAGCCUGACGGAGCAAUCCCGCGUGAAGGAUGAAGGUCUGCGGAUCGUAAACUUCUUUUCUUCGUGACGAAUUUUGACGGUAGCGAAGGAAUCAGCAUCGGCUAACUCUGUGCCAGCAGCCGCGGUAAGACAGAGGAUGCAAGCGUUAUCCGGAUUGAUUGGGCGUAAAGCGUUCGUAGGUGGCUUUCUAAGUCUCCUGUCAAAUUCCAGAGCUUAACUCUGGACCGGCACGAGAAACUAGGAGGCUUGAGUACGGUAGGGGCCAGAGGAAUUUCCGGUGUAGCGGUGAAAUGCGUAGAGCUCGGAAAGAACACCAACGGCGAAAGCAUCUGGCUGGGCCGUUACUGACACUGAGGGACGAAAGCCAAGGGAGCAAAAAGGAUUAGAGACCCUUGUAGUCUUGGCUGUAAACGAUGGGUACUAGGUCUUUCGAAGUCAACCCAGCUUGCUGGGCGAUCUUUGGGGGAUCAAAGCUAACGCAUUAAGUACCCCGCCUGGGGAGUAUGCUCGCAAGGGUGAAACUCAAAGGAAUUGACGGGGGCCCGCACAAGCGGUGGAGCAUGUGGUUUAAUUCGAUGCAACGCGAAGAACCUUACCCGGACUUGACAUGUCACUCGGUUCGCCGAGGUGUCGGUGAAAGCCGCUUUAGAACACAAGUGGUGCAUGGCUGUCGUCAGCUCGUGUCGUGAGAUGUUGGGUUAAGUCCCGCAACGAGCGCAACCCUUUUCUUUUGUUGUCUUCAUGAGAUCGAAAGAGACUGCCGAUGACAAGUCGGA
This 1090-nucleotide ribosomal RNA is filed under the name uncultured bacterium. RNAcentral's name for it is "bacterial SSU rRNA". It matches the Rfam family "Bacterial small subunit ribosomal RNA", at positions 46 to 1167 of the family's 1533-position model. The record is from RNAcentral.